This 359-nucleotide ribosomal RNA is filed under the name uncultured bacterium. RNAcentral describes it as "bacterial SSU rRNA". It matches the Rfam family "Bacterial small subunit ribosomal RNA", at positions 28 to 418 of the family's 1533-position model. The record is from RNAcentral.
GAUGAACGCUGGCGGCGUGCUUAACACAUGCAAGUCGAACGGACCUUCGGGUCAGUGGCGGACGGGUGAGUAACGCGUGAGAAUCUGCCCUCAGGAGGGGGAUAACGGCUGGAAACGGCCGCUAAUACCCCAUAUGCCGCGAGGUGAAAUGAAUUUCGCCUGAGGAUGAGCUCGCGUCUGAUUAGCUAGUUGGUGGGGUAAAGGCCUACCAAGGCGACGAUCAGUAGCUGGUCUGAGAGGAUGAUCAGCCACACUGGGACUGAGACACGGCCCAGACUCCUACGGGAGGCAGCAGUGGGGAAUUUUCCGCAAUGGGCGAAAGCCUGACGGAGCAACGCCGCGUGAGGGAUGAAGGCCUC